AAGAAAACAAGGAGGGCUAAACAAGGAGAAUGCAGAUCUGAUCGAGAGGGGUAAAAUCCCCAGCCAUCUUCUUCGAUCCCCUUAGGCCUGGCAUCUCUAUCUCCCUCACCCUACUUCUCCACCUCCGGCCGCCGCCACGGCCAGGCCGGCGUGGUUGUCUGCCUCCCACCUCAUCACCAUCUCCAUCCACCACUCCCCGAAGCCAUCCAUCUCCACCGUCCGCGCCAAGCACCACCAGCACCACUCCAUCUCCACCGCGCCUUCACCAUCACCUCGCGCGCCCUACCAGACGCGGUGGUCUAGUGCCUCGCGCGACCUCUCCCUCCAGCCGGCGCGCCUCUCCCUGCUGUUUCCCCAACUUCUUCUUCCCUUUGCUGCUCCUCCACCUCUCCUCGUCCCCCAAACUGCUUGCUGCUUCUCCUUCUAUGAACCCUUGCUGCUGCUGCCGCUUCUUCUUGCGCCCUCCGUUGCUGCUGCUCUCUUCUCCCACGUCUUUGCUGCUGCUCCUCUUCUUGCGUCCCUGCUGAUUCCUCUCCUUCCCCUUGCUGCUGCUCCUCCUUCUCUCCAAAACUGCUGCUGCUCCCUCUCCCAUGAACCUGCUGCUACUCUUCUCUCCUUGCUGCUCCUAGUUCUUCUCUGAACUAAAACUGCUGCUGCUUCUCUCCUCUCUUACUUCUUGCAAAUUUCUGAAAACUGCUAGGUGAACCUUGUGUAAUAUUCAGAUUUGUGCCUUGAGAUGCUUAUGUAAUAUUCAGAUUUGAAGUGUACUUGCAAUCUGCUGUUUGCUCUGUUUAAGUACUUGUAUAAUAUAGUGUAUGUGUUUUGAGAUCUGACUAGUUGAGGCUUUGUUACUUUGAGAGAUACUUGAUCUAUCAUAUUUUGGUUUUGUCAAUUGGUAUUCUGCUAGUAUGUGUGUGUGUGUGUGUGUGUGUAAUUCAUCAAAACAAAUUGUUGUGUGCUGAUGAUUAAUGUCCAGUUUACUGUUCCUGCGAUAUAUACAUAUGUGUGUUUGUGAUGUGAUACAUAUAUACCUGUGAUUUUAUUUUGUAGUGAGACUGCUCUUUGUGAAGUCAGAGGUGUGAUUGUUUUUAAUCUCAAGUUCAAUGUGCUAGCUAUGCACCAGUGACAUAUGUGACAUGUAUAUGUGAUGUGAAACAAUUGUAUGCUGUCCCUAAUCUUGUUCCUUCCGCGUGUCUUAUACUUGCUAGUUUUAUAUACAUAUAUGUGUUCUUGUCUUGUUAGUUCCCUUUGUUGAAGUUGUCCCCCUGUAGUUUUUAUUUCUCAAGUUCUAGGAAAACACCAAAAAGAUAGUAAGUAAUCUGAACCUCCCUUUGCUAUUUUGCAUUUUCUUUGUGGAUUAUCUUCGGGAACAAUCAUUGUUAGUUUAGAUUCUUAUUUUCUGCAUUUAUCUCUUAAAAUUUUGCUUCCUAGCUUUAGCCGAGCAUAGUCGUCGUCGCCUAGUCCCUGUGGAGAACACGACAUCCGUAGUUUGGGGCGUAAAACCCCCGCUAUACUUUCAAUUGAUCAUUUUGGCGCCGUUGCCGGGGACUAGCGUCGAGCGUUUGUGUGAGGCUUUAGACUAGGUUUAGCUUGUUUCCUUUUUGUGCUUUAUAUAUUUGUGAUAUAUCUCUAGCCACUAACCCCUGUUCUAGUUAGUAUCUUUUUGUCUUCUUUUCCUUUUUGCAGGUUGGAUUAUCCUCUCGGUUAUGGCUUACUAUUCAGAUCAUCAGGCUUAUGCGAGCAACACUACAAACAACACGAAAAGUGUUCAAGAACUGAUAGGUAAGAUUUCCCAUCGAUUAGAUGAUUUAGCUCGGCAGCGAGAAGGAGUUUUUGAGGAUAGGCCUAGCUCUUAUGAUCCUUAUUCUAGAGGCUAUCCUUAUGUUGCUCCUACCUGCCAUAUUUGUGGAUUUUAGGGCCAUUCGCCCGCUGAAUGUCAGCGUGGUUACUCCCAUCCUCCGGAUUGUUUUGGCAUGAGCUUCGCUCAACAGCAUAGCUCAUACCAAAACAAUUACACACAUGGGUGGCCUGAAAACCAGAAUAUGUCAUAUAGGAGCAAUAACCCUGAGAUCUCAUCGUUUGCUUCUAGUAAUCAUAUGCAGGGAUUUAGGUACAAUGAGGAGAGCCACAACUAUGCACCACAACAAUUCCAUUCAGCUCCUACUCAUAUACCACAACACCAGGAGAUGUGUCCAAUGGAGUUAAAUGGUCCUCCAUUUGGUCAACCAACAACUCCAGCACCUGUUGUGCAAUCUCAUGUGCAAGUGCCCACACAAGAUGAGUUAGAUGACAUAGACAAGCUCACACUUUUGAGUCUCGAGUUCACUUGGAGUGCCGAGGAUGAUCCUAUUAGGAAGGUUAUACUAGAGGAAAUGAAGAAGAUUAAGAGUGGAAAGGAGCUAGUCGAAGAAGUAAGGAAGAUUGAGAAGAACAUCAACGCUGGCAGCACUAUUUCUUCACAACUUGAGUUGAGUGUGGCUGAGAUAUCCAUGGAUACAUGUGAGGUUCCAACACCUUCACAUUUCGUUGAGCAAGAUAGCAAGUGCCUUGAGCAAGAGAUACCUCAGAUUGUAGAAGAUGAACUAGAAGACAAGGAACAAGAUGGUCAAGAGCUGCAAUUCCCAAGUGAUCAAGUUGAAGACUCAUCAUCUAUUACUCCUGAUGAAGUACAAGAAGCUGCUGUAGAUGAAGAUGAAGAACAUGAGAUUCAUUGGCCUAUUAUCAUACAUGAGCAUGAUGUGUCAGGUUUACUCAAUCCUCUUGAUGACAUGAUGCCUUGUGAUUUCUUUGCUACUACCUUGCAUUACAUGAUACCAUCACUUAAGAUUGAUUUGAAAAAUCAUUUGCUUGGAUAUGAUGAUAUAUACCCUGUUAGUGGCAUUACUCUCAUUUGUGAUGAUCAUAGUUACUUUCCUCGUGCUAGUCCUAUGCUAAAUGAAACAUAUCAUUCCCAUGCUAGUCUUGAGCUUAAUGAUAAAUAUCAUCCUCAUGUUAGUGUUGACCUUGCUGAUUUCUACCAUCCUAAACAUGUGCUUUAUAGCUAUGCUUAUGUAAUUGGAUAUUCGAUUGAUGACUUGGAGGGUAUUAUCCCUACCACUUGCAUUGUCUCUUUGGUUGAGUGCUCUUUCAGGUUGUUGCUUGUGCACGAUCCACUACAUGCUGACCAGGUUCGAGGUGACAUUCCUUGGGAUCCUGGUGGAGUCAGAGCAUGGCGAUGAGGAGAAGCAAUGGGGCACACAUAUGGAAGAGUGAAGCUGGAGCAUCCAUGAGGAAUCAAGGGAGAAGAGCUGCAGCUGGUGAGGUGAUCGAGCGAGUGCUACAUGAUCAAAGCCCGGUGAGCUGUUUCAUGACCCAUUCCUAGUAUAUCAUCCAUUGAUACAUGCUGAAAUCAAAUGUUAUUUGGGUUGCUUAAGCCAUGUCUUAAAUGUUGCCCUACUGAAUUUUACUUGACAUAUGGUGCUUGAUGAGAAUAUGUGAACUGAGUGUUGAAUGCCUGGUAAACUAGUGAUCUAUACAAUGCUUGCUUUGCUGAAAGUAGUGGAAGUUAUUAGUUUUGAGUGCUCAAAUCCCUAGUAUACUAGAAAACUUAAUCAUUUUCUGCUUUUAACUCGAUACACCUAGAUCACCACGUUUAGAUGCUGAAUUUGUGCUAAGUGUGUUCCCAUUGAGAGCAAUCACCUAACAACUAUGGAUUAGCAUGCUAUGUUCCCUGGAUCGGUAGCAUGUGAACCAGACAUGGAGAAGUGAUGAUUCCUAUUUCUGUGCUUAUGUGUUGUUCAUUUAAGAUAAGUAAUAAUGAAUAAAUAAGUCUGACUACCUACAGUAGCAUGUCAUGUUCCCGGGAUCGGUGGCAUGUGAAAUCGGGUUAGCUUGGGCAGUAAUUAAUAAUAAAAAAAUGUAAUUGUCGAACCAGGUGUAUACCAUGUUCUCGGGAUCGGUGGUAUGUUCCUUUGGGGAGACAAACAAAAAAAACUAAUAAUUGGUCGAGCCAGGUGUAUACUAUGUUCUCGGGAUUGGUGGUAUGUUCCUAUGGUGAGACUAAUAAUAAUAUAAUCAUUGCUUUAUCUCUGUAAAUAAGUGAUUUGAUCACAAGAUUUAAUUCCAGUUCAUUUUGUUCUUGGGAUCAUGCUCUCUUUAGGAACCUUUGGCACAAUCAUCAUUUGAACUUGUUGAUCCCACUUUUAUCAUUGUAAAAGUUUAAAAUGAUUGAGUCUACUAGUAUCCUACUGCUUUGAAGCACUCCUGACCAUUGAUUUUCACUAGCAAAGUUCAAAGCAUGCUUUGUUUGGAGAUCUACUUCACUUGGCAUUCUCUAGUCAGCUCACUGUUCACAAUCUUGCUCUUGUCAUAUUUCUUUGCUUGAGGACAAGCAAAGAUUUAAGUGUGGGGGAACUUGAUAGAGUAUUUCCUCAUAUAAUAUUUUUAGCCUUCUUGCAUCAAAUUGUAAUCAUAUUUUCACAUUAUUUACUCGAAAGAUAUUCAAAUACUCAUAUUAUGUCACAUUUACAACACUACUCCAUCUUUUGCAGAAAAGGGCGAUAAGGCCCAAAUCCUUCUAUAUUGGAGUGUCUAAGAGGUUGCGGUUGCUGCAUUUUGCAGAGGGACUCGAGUGUGAAGAAGAAUUAACCUACAGGGGCUAGCUGAAGAAGAAGGGGACCAACUUGGGAAGAAAGAAGAAAACAAGGAGGGCUAAACAAGGAGAAUGCAGAUCUGAUCGAGAGGGGUAAAAUCCCCAGCCAUCUUCUUCAAUCCCCUUAGGCCUGGCAUCUCUAUCUCCCUCACCCUACUUCUCCACCUCCGGCCGCCGCCACGGCCAGGCCGGCGUGGUGGUGCGCCUCCCACCUCAUCACCAUCUCCAUCCACCACUCCCCGAAGCCAUCCAUCUCCACCGUCCGCGCCAAGCACCACCAGCACCACUCCAUCUCCACCGCGCCUUCACCAUCACCUCGCGCGCCCUACCAGACGCGGUGGUCUGGUGCCUCGCGCGACCUCUCCCUCCAGCCGGCGUGCCUCUCCCUGCUGUUUCCCAACUUCUUCUUCCCUUUGCUGCUCCUCCACCUCUCCUCGUCCCCCAAACUGCUUGCUGCUUCUCCUUCUAUGAACCCUUUCUGCUGCUGCCGCUUCUUCUUGCGCCCUCCACUGUUACUGCUCUCUUCUCCCACGUCUUUGCUGCUGCUCCUCUUCUUGCGUCCCUGCUGAUUCCUCUCCUUCCCCUCGCUGCUGCUCCUCCUUCUCUUCAAAACUGCUGCUGCUCCCUCUCCCACGAACCUGCUGCUGCUCUUCUCUCCUUGCUGCUCCUAGUUCUUCUCUGAACUAAAACUGCUGCUGCUUCUCUCCUCUCUUACUUCUUGCAAAUUUCUGAAAACUGCUAGGUGAACCUUGUGUAAUAUUCACAUUUGUGCCUUGAGAUGCUUAUGUAAUAUUCAGAUUUGAAGUGUACUUGCAAUCUGCUGUUUGCUCUGUUUAAGUACUUGUAUAAUAUAGUGUAUGUGUUUUGAGAUCUGACUAGUUGAGGCUUUGUUACUUUGAGAGAUACUUGAUCUAUCAUAUUUUGGUUUUGUCAAUUGGUAUUCUGCUAGUAUGUGUGUGUGUGUGUGUAAUACAUCAAAAAUAUUGUUGUGUGCUGAUGAUUAAUGUCCAGUUUACUGUUCCUGCGAUAUAUACAUAUGUGUGUUUGUGAUGUGAUACAUAUAUACCUGUGAUUUUAUUUUGUAGUGAGACUGCUCUUUGUGAAGUCAGAGGUGUGAUUGUUUUUAAUCUCAAGUUCAAUGUGCUAGCUAUGCACCAGUGACA
RNAcentral lists this ribosomal RNA (5793 nucleotides) under Triticum aestivum (bread wheat). Its description in RNAcentral is "partial small subunit ribosomal RNA". The record is from RNAcentral. Lineage: Eukaryota; Viridiplantae; Streptophyta; Magnoliopsida; Poales; Poaceae.